This 193-nucleotide ribosomal RNA is filed under the name uncultured bacterium. RNAcentral describes it as "partial 16S ribosomal RNA". It matches the Rfam family "Bacterial small subunit ribosomal RNA", at positions 334 to 524 of the family's 1533-position model. The record is from RNAcentral.
UACUCCUACGGGAGGCAGCAGUAAGGAAUAUUGGGCAAUGGACGCAAGUCUGACCCAGCCAUGCCGCGUGCAGGAAGACGGCCUUAUGGGUUGUAAACUGCUUUUGUCAGGGAAUAAACCCUUGGAUUAAUCCAGGGCUGAAUGUACCUGAAGAAUAAGCAUCGGCUAACUCCGUGCCAGCAGCCGCGGUAAU